ACAGCAGCAGCCGCGGUAAAACGUAGGGUGCAAGCGUUAAUCGGAAUUACUGGGCGUAAAGCGUGCGCAGGCGGUUAUAUAAGACAGAUGUGAAAUCCCCGGGCUCAACCUGGGAACUGCAUUUGUGACUGUAUAGCUAGAGUACGGCAGAGGGGGAUGGAAUUCCGCGUGUAGCAGUGAAAUGCGUAGAUAUGCGGAGGAACACCGAUGGCGAAGGCAAUCCCCUGGGCCUGUACUGACGCUCAUGCACGAAAGCGUGGGGAGCAAACAGGAUUAGAUACCCCUGUAGUCCCUGUCUCUUAUAC
Molecule: ribosomal RNA, 305 nt
Filed under: uncultured bacterium
Lineage: Bacteria
Description: partial 16S ribosomal RNA
Rfam family: Bacterial small subunit ribosomal RNA
Source: RNAcentral